AACGAACGCUGGCGGCAGGCCUAACACAUGCAAGUCGAGCGAGGACUUCGGUUCUAGCGGCGGACGGGUGGGUAACGCGUGGGAAUGUGCCCUUCUCUACGGAAUAGCCCUGGGAAACUGGGAGUAAUACCGUAUACGCCCUUUUGGGGAAAGAUUUAUCGGAGAAGGAUCAGCCCGCGUUGGAUUAGGUAGUUGGUGGGGUAAUGGCCUACCAAGCCGACGAUCCAUAGCUGGUUUGAGAGGAUGAUCAGCCACACUGGGACUGAGACACGGCCCAGACUCCUACGGGAGGCAGCAGUGGGGAAUCUUAGACAAGGGGGGCAACCCUGAUCUAGCCAUGCCGCGUGAGUGAUGAAGGCCUUAGUGUUGUAAAGCUCUUUCAGCUGGGAAGAUAAUGACGGUACCAGCAGAAGAAGCCCCGGCUAACUCCGUG
This 433-nucleotide ribosomal RNA is filed under the name uncultured bacterium. RNAcentral's name for it is "partial 16S ribosomal RNA". It matches the Rfam family "Bacterial small subunit ribosomal RNA", at positions 29 to 507 of the family's 1533-position model. The record is from RNAcentral.